AUUUAGAUUUUCUUUCGGCAGUGGGUGUCACCUCAUCUACCAUAUAUAUAUAUAGUUUGUUUUUCUUUAAUUUCGUCAUUACUUUUGUAACUUCGGAGCACCUUCCACAAUACAUAUCCUCAUCGCAACGUCUGCUGCAAUGGGAGGAUUGUUAUCAAGAGGACCGCUGAGACCAGAGCCGAGACCAGAGCCGAAACCAGAGCCGAGACCAGGGCCAUUUCUCCCUAAUCCAUGGCGUGAAGUUAAAUUUAGUGAUGAUGCUUACAUGAAACUUCAAGAAGAAAUAAAAAAACACGAACCCCACCGUAAGGCUUACACAACAAAUAUUCUUAUUUCGGGUAGUGUGGGUUCUGGAAAGUCAAGCUUUCUAAAUUCUGUGCUCUCAGAACUCAGGAGAAAAGAAUUCAACGGCAGAGUGCAAACCCUUCAAGCCGUGAGACCAGGUGCACAAACAAGCGUCACACAACGUCUAAGAUGCCACAAAUUCAUUGAGAAGAUCAAAAUCUUUGAUACAGCAGGAUUUGAAUUGGAGAAAACAGUGAAUGCCACGAUAAUAUUAAAGAAGAUUAUAGAUGGUGAAGUGGCUGAAGGCACAAAGUUUGACAAUAUUCUGAAAUCAAAAAUGGAAGGAGACAAAAUCCACUGUGUUGUGUUGGUUCUAUCACUUCAUACCGCUGAAAAUAUGCACCCAGCAUUGAUUCAGUUUUAUGAACAAUUCAUUGGAAUGCUCACAGAGACUGUAUAUAUAUUAUGUAUCCCUGCAGCCGCCACCAGAAGUACCAUGCCAGCUGCUUGUUACAUUCGUUGAUAAACUUGUCGAGAAGACUGAGGAUUUGAAAAAUCUGUACAGGAGAAGAGAUAUAAAACAAAAGAUUGAAAUGUUAGCAAAGAAGAUGAGAAUUUCAAUGUGCAACGUCCUUGUGGUUUCAAACUACUUUGAGGAGAUGAAAAUUAACCAAAUAAAAGGAACUCUGCUGUUGGAGGCAGUUGCUCAAAUGCUGAUGGCUGCAAAACCCUUUCAAGAGAGAAUGUAGAGUAUCACCUGUCACACCUGAAGCACGCUGAGCCCAUUCACAAUUUGAAUUGAUUUCCAAUGGGAGAAUGGCCACUUUGUGUAUAAGAGAAGCCAAUUCCUUUGUUUGGAGAGAGCAGGAGGAAGCAGCAGGAGGCUGUGGUCCCAGAUAACACCCAGUCAGCACUAUCACAGAGUUACUUUUUGUAUUUAUGAAUUUUAUUCAGCUCAUUCUCUACUUGUAUAUUC
Molecule: RNA transcript, 1261 nt
Organism: Acipenser ruthenus (sterlet)
Lineage: Eukaryota; Metazoa; Chordata; Actinopteri; Acipenseriformes; Acipenseridae
Gene name: interferon-induced protein 44-like
Exons: 8
Source: RefSeq, a predicted model, not a curated record